GAAAAAAAAGAAAAAGAAUGAGAGAAAUGCCCUAUGCUUCAUAUCUUUUAAAAACCUCUGGUAUUUGAUAUUGCCGUCAGCCCUUCCAGCCUUCUGCAGAAGACUCACUGAAGACGAAGACUUGUCUAUAUCCAUCCAAGUUGAAGUGAUGGAGACAUAUGUACAGGGAAUAAUGGAUGUUUCCCUAGAGCCUAAUCCAAGGGCUAAUAGGAGGCUGCAGAGAACUAGAUACAAGUCAUGGUCUGCUCCUUGAAAUUUCCUGGAGAAGUCGCCGAUUUAGUGAGGAUACAAAAGGUAUGUUUGCUUCUACAACAGUUGUUCUCAAGCCACUGGAGAAAAACGAAAAAAAAAAAAAAGAAACAAGUAAGCAAAAACAAUGUCCAUGUACAACCCCUUAGAUACCUGGAAUUAAAUAGCCUCAAUCUGAGCUCAAGUCUUGUUAUUUUUUUUUUAAUUUCUUUUUUAAAAAAACAAAUAUUUAUAUUGCAGAAAAUAUAUAUUUAUUGUUUGACUUUCUAUUAAUUAAGCAGUUUUUUGUACAAGGCUUUACAAAAUUAAACAAAUU
RNAcentral lists this long non-coding RNA (565 nucleotides) under Oryctolagus cuniculus (rabbit). RNAcentral describes it as "lncRNA (ENSOCUG00000036243.1)". The record is from RNAcentral. Lineage: Eukaryota; Metazoa; Chordata; Mammalia; Lagomorpha; Leporidae.